This is a long non-coding RNA of Amphimedon queenslandica, 847 nucleotides long. RefSeq lists it as uncharacterized. The record is from RefSeq and is a predicted model, not a curated record. Lineage: Eukaryota; Metazoa; Porifera; Demospongiae; Haplosclerida; Niphatidae. The transcript has 3 exons.
CGCCCACUAACUAUGAUCACUCUGGUGGGUGUGGCAAAAUAAAAUGGCCGCCGAAACAGCAGAAAAAACACCUUGACAAAAACGGAGAAGAAAACAGCUUUUUAGUCACUUAGUGAUGAAACAAGGUUCCUCGAGAAAAGCAGAGAUCAUAAACAAAAAAAAUUACUCAUGACAACAACUCAUAGCCACAUCAUUGACUUCCUAAUAAAUAGAGUUCUGAAACUAGAAACAAUUUAGAACACUUCUUAAAUAAAUGAUCAGAGUCCUCAAUUAAUAUUAAAUUAAUGAUCAAAGUCCUCACACUGGGUACUGUUCACUUAUGUGAUGCAUUAUGUUGAACCAAACAUCUCUAGCACUAGGACCAUAUCUUUCACGCCACAUAAAUUCAUCUAGAUAUGAUGGCAACUGCUCUGCAUGACAUCCUUUCAUUCUUUUCAGCUUCCGUUUUGCUCUACUCCAGUAAGACUCGAUGUUUUGAGUAUGCACACCAGUAGCUGGAUCUACAAAAUUGACUGAGUGAUUAACCAUUUGAUGGGCAGCAACUUGUGGUAAAGAAGCAACCUGCCGAUAAGCACUCCAUUCGUUGGAGUAAACAGUGGUACCAUUAGCUACAUGUGCUUGAAUUAUGGGAUAUAGAGUUGCUGCCUGUCUAUUUGGUACCAGUUGCAUGAAACCUAGUGACGGUUGGAAUGAUGUGUCCACCAUCCCAAAGACCCACAACUCCUGUCUAGUUGCUCGUCCUCUAUGAUGCUAUAAUAAAAAGUUUGUGACGAAACAAGGACUCAUCUAUUUGGACCACUUUGCCUGGUCCUCCUAAAACAAUAGGUACUGAGAUCAAUUUGGUGGA